GGUCAAGCGAAUAAGUGCAUGUGGUGGAUGCCUUGGCGAUAACAGGCGAUGAAGGACGCGACAGCCUGCGAUAAGCUGCGGGGAGCCGGCAAAUGGGCGCUGAUCCGCAGAUUUCCGAAUGGGGAAACCCAACCCGCAAGGGUUACCUGUCCCUGAAUACAUAGGGAUAAGGAGCGAACCUGGAGAACUGAAACAUCUCAGUAACCAGAGGAACAGAAAUCAACCGAGAUUCCCAAAGUAGUGGCGAGCGAAAUGGGACCAGCCUUCGAGUUUUAGCACGCGAGUUAGCGGAACGCCCUGGAAAGAGCGGCCAUAGCGGGUGAUAGCCCCGUACGCGAAAACUGGUGUGGAACUGAGCUCGAGACAAAGUAGGGCGGGACACGUGAAAUCCUGUCUGAAGAUGGGGGACCAUCCUCCAAGGCUAAAUACUCGUUAUCGACCGAUAGUGAACCAGUACCGUGAGGGAAAGGCGAAAAGAACCCCGGGAGGGGAGUGAAAUAGAACCUGAAACCGCAUGCAUACAAACAGUCGGAGCCUCAGCAAUGGGGUGACGGCGUACCUUUUGUAUAAUGGGUCAGCGACUUACGUUCAGUUGCGAGCUUAAGGCUAGGUGCCGGAGGCGCAGCGAAAGCGAGUCUGAACAGGGCGUUCAGUAGCUGGGCGUAGACCCGAAACCGGUUGAUCUAUCCAUGGCCAGGUUGAAGGUGGGGUAACACCCACUGGAGGACCGAACCCACGCCCGUUGAAAAGGUCGGGGAUGAGCUGUGGAUAGGGGUGAAAGGCUAAACAAAACCGGAGAUAGCUGGUUCUCCUCGAAAACUAUUGAGGUAGUGCGUCACGUAUUACCUUCGGGGGUAGAGCACUGUUAUGGCUAGGGGGCCGCUAUAGGCUUACCAAACCAUGGCAAACUCCGAAUACCGAAGAGUAGAGCGUGGCAGACAGUCCCCGGGUGCUAACGUCCGGGGACAAGAGGGAAACAACCCAGACCGCCAGCUAAGGUCCCCAAUAUCGGCUAAGUGGAAAACGAGGUGGGAAGGCUCAGACAGUCAGGAGGUUGGCUUAGAAGCAGCCAUCCUUUAAAGAAAGCGUAAUAGCUCACUGAUCGAGUCGUCCUGCGCGGAAGAUGUAACGGGGCUCAAGCCAAUAACCGAAGCUGCGGAUCUAGGAGCAAUCCAUAGGUGGUAGAGGAGCGUUCCCUACGCCUGCGAAGGUGUGCCGAGAGGCAUGCUGGAGGUAUGGGAAGUGCGAAUGCUGACAUGAGUAGCGAUAAAGGGAGUGAAAAGCUCCCUCGCCGAAAGCCCAAGGUUUCCUGCGCAACGUUCAUCGGCGCAGGGUGAGUCGGCCCCUAAGGUGAGGCAGAGAUGCGUAGCUGAUGGGAAUCCGGUCAAUAUUCCGGAACCGCCGACGGGUGCGAUGUGGGGACGAAGAAGGUUAUGCAGACCGGGUGUUGGACGUCCCGGUGAAGCGUGUAGGUGGAUCCUCUAGGGAAAUCCGGAGGGUCAACACCGAGGCGCGGGACCAGGGGGGCUUGCCCUCCGAAGCUGCAGAUACCCUGCUUCCAGGAAAAGCCACUAAGCUUCAGCCCGUCGGGACCGUACCGCAAACCGACACAGGUGGGCAGGAUGAAAAUUCUCAGGCGCUUGAGAGAACUCAGGAGAAGGAACUCGGCAAAUUGACACCGUAACUUCGGGAGAAGGUGUGCCUUUGGUAGGUGUAGCGGCUUGCCCGCGAAGCCGAAGAAGGCCGCAGAGAAUCGGUGGCUGCGACUGUUUAUCAAAAACACAGCACUCUGCUAAGACGUUGGAAGUCGACGUAUAGGGUGUGACGCCUGCCCGGUGCCGGAAGGUUAAGUGAUGGGGUGCAAGCUCUUGAUCGAAGCCCCGGUAAACGGCGGCCGUAACUAUAACGGUCCUAAGGUAGCGAAAUUCCUUGUCGGGUAAGUUCCGACCCGCACGAAUGGCGUAACGAUGGCCACACUGUCUCCUCCUGAGACUCAGCGAAGUUGAAAUGUUUGUGAAGAUGCAAUCUACCCGCGGCUAGACGGAAAGACCCCAUGAACCUUUACUGUAGCUUUGCAUUGGACUGUGACGUUGUCUGUGUAGGAUAGCUGGGAGGCUUUGAAGCCGGGAUGCUAGUUCCGGUGGAGCCGACGUUGAAAUACCAGCCUGACGACGUUGCGGUUCUAACCUGGGCCCCUUGACGGGGUCGGGGACCGUGCAUGGUAGGCAGUUUGACUGGGGCGGUCUCCUCCCAAAGAGUAACGGAGGAGUGCGAAGGUCACCUAGGUACGGUCGGAAAUCGUACUCAUAGUGCAAUGGCAUAAGGUGGCUUGACUGCGAGACUGACAAGUCGAGCAGGUGCGAAAGCAGGUCAUAGUGAUCCGGUGGUUCUGUAUGGAAGGGCCAUCGCUCAACGGAUAAAAGGUACUCUGGGGAUAACAGGCUGAUUCCUCCCAAGAGUUCAUAUCGACGGGGGAGUUUGGCACCUCGAUGUCGGCUCAUCACAUCCUGGGGCUGUAGCCGGUCCCAAGGGUAUGGCUGUUCGCCAUUUAAAGUGGUACGUGAGCUGGGUUCAAAACGUCGUGAGACAGUUUGGUCCCUAUCUGCCGUGGGCGUUGGAGAUUUGACGGGGGCUGCUCCUAGUACGAGAGGACCGGAGUGGACGCAUCCCUGGUGUACCGGUUGUGACGCCAGUCGCAUUGCCGGGUAGCUAUAUGCGGAAGAGAUAACCGCUGAAAGCAUCUAAGCGGGAAACUUGCCUGAAGAUGAGAUCUCCCGGAGGCUUGACCUCCCUGAAGGGUCGUCCGAGACCAGGACGUUGAUAGGCUGGGUGUGCACGGGGGGUAACCCUCUUAGCUAACCAGUACUAAUUGCCCGUGUGGCUUGACUCU
RNAcentral lists this ribosomal RNA (2890 nucleotides) under Betaproteobacteria bacterium. Its description in RNAcentral is "23S ribosomal RNA". It matches the Rfam family "Bacterial large subunit ribosomal RNA". Lineage: Bacteria; Pseudomonadati; Pseudomonadota; Betaproteobacteria. The record is from RNAcentral.